Chelonoidis abingdonii (Abingdon island giant tortoise) is the source of this 134-nucleotide non-coding RNA. Lineage: Eukaryota; Metazoa; Chordata; Testudines; Testudinidae. The record is from RefSeq and is a predicted model, not a curated record.
ACAGCGGCAGGUGGCAGGUGGCAGCAGAAAAUGACUGCACAGGGCCAGUGGCAACAGAGUGGUGGAGUGAACAGUGGCACAACGAACAGACGUGGCCAGAGCAAACAGUGAGCAGCUGGAGGAACCAGCAAGGU